GCCUAAUACAUGCAAGUCGAGCGAACAGAUAAGGAGCUUGCUCCUUUGACGUUAGCGGCGGACGGGUGAGUAACACGUGGGUAACCUACCUAUAAGACUGGGAUAACUUCGGGAAACCGGAGCUAAUACCGGAUAACAUUUGGAACCGCAUGGUUCUAAAGUGAAAGAUGGUUUUGCUAUCACUUAUAGAUGGACCCGCGCCGUAUUAGCUAGUUGGUAAGGUAACGGCUUACCAAGGCAACGAUACGUAGCCGACCUGAGAGGGUGAUCGGCCACACUGGAACUGAGACACGGUCCAGACUCCUACGGGAGGCAGCAGUAGGGAAUCUUCCGCAAUGGGCGAAAGCCUGACGGAGCAACGCCGCGUGAGUGAUGAAGGGUUUCGGCUCGUAAAACUCUGUUAUUAGGGAAGAACAAACGUGUAAGUAACUGUGCACGUCUUGACGGUACCUAAUCAGAAAGCCACGGCUAACUACGUGCCAGCAGCCGCGGUAAUACGUAGGUGGCAAGCGUUAUCCGGAAUUAUUGGGCGUAAAGCGCGCGUAGGCGGUUUCUUAAGUCUGAUGUGAAAGCCCACGGCUCAACCGUGGAGGGUCAUUGGAAACUGGGAAACUUGAGUGCAGAAGAGGAAAGUGGAAUUCCAUGUGUAGCGGUGAAAUGCGCAGAGAUAUGGAGGAACACCAGUGGCGAAGGCGACUUUCUGGUCUGUAACUGACGCUGAUGUGCGAAAGCGUGGGGAUCAAACAGGAUUAGAUACCCUGGUAGUCCACGCCGUAAACGAUGAGUGCUAAGUGUUAGGGGGUUUCCGCCCCUUAGUGCUGCAGCUAACGCAUUAAGCACUCCGCCUGGGGAGUACGACCGCAAGGUUGAAACUCAAAGGAAUUGACGGGGACCCGCACAAGCGGUGGAGCAUGUGGUUUAAUUCGAAGCAACGCGAAGAACCUUACCAAAUCUUGACAUCCUUUGAAAACUCUAGAGAUAGAGCCUUCCCCUUCGGGGGACAAAGUGACAGGUGGUGCAUGGUUGUCGUCAGCUCGUGUCGUGAGAUGUUGGGUUAAGUCCCGCAACGAGCGCAACCCUUAAGCUUAGUUGCCAUCAUUAAGUUGGGCACUCUAGGUUGACUGCCGGUGACAACCGGAGGAAGGUGGGGAUGACGUCAAAUCAUCAUGCCCCUUAUGAUUUGGGCUACACACGUGCUACAAUGGACAAUACAAAGGGCAGCUAAACCGCGAGGUCAUGCAAAUCCCAUAAAGUUGUUCUCAGUUCGGAUUGUAGUCUGCAACUCGACUACAUGAAGCUGGAAUCGCUAGUAAUCGUAGAUCAGCAUGCUACGGUGAAUACGUUCCCGGGUCUUGUACACACCGCCCGUCACACCACGAGAGUUUGUAACACCCGAAGCCGGUGGAGUAACCAUUUAUGGAGCUAGCCGUCGUAAGGGGACAA
This 1443-nucleotide ribosomal RNA is filed under the name Staphylococcus saprophyticus. RNAcentral describes it as "bacterial SSU rRNA". It matches the Rfam family "Bacterial small subunit ribosomal RNA". Lineage: Bacteria; Bacillati; Bacillota; Bacilli; Caryophanales; Staphylococcaceae. The record is from RNAcentral.